RNAcentral lists this ribosomal RNA (478 nucleotides) under uncultured bacterium. RNAcentral's name for it is "partial 16S ribosomal RNA". It matches the Rfam family "Bacterial small subunit ribosomal RNA", at positions 28 to 507 of the family's 1533-position model. The record is from RNAcentral.
GAUGAACGCUGGCGGCGUGCUUAACACAUGCAAGUCGAACGAGAAGUGAAGACGGAAACCUUCGGGCGGAAGGCUUUAUUUCGAGUGGCGGACGGGUGAGUAACGCGUGGGUAACCUGCCUCAUACAGGGGGAUAACAGUUGGAAACGACUGUUAAUACCGCAUAAGACCACAGCACCGCAUGGUGCGGGGGUAAAAACUCCGGUGGUAUGAGAUGGACCCGCGUUCGAUUAGCCAGUUGGCGGGGUAACGGCCCACCAAAGCGACGAUCGAUAGCCGAUCUGAGAGGAUGACCGGCCACAUUGGGACUGAGACACGGCCCAAACUCCUACGGAAGGCAGCAGUGGGGAAUAUUGCACAAUGGGGGAAGCCCUGAUGCAGCGACGCCGCGUGAGUGAAGAAGUAUUUCGGUAUGUAAAGCUCUAUCAGCAGGGAAGAAAAUGACGGUACCUGAGUAAGAAGCCCCGGCUAACUACGUG